CGGUUUUUGUACUACACAUAGGUACUGGAAAACUUACCACAGAUUAUCCAGUGCUUGGUCUAGUGCAAGAAUUGC
Molecule: non-coding RNA, 75 nt
Organism: Caenorhabditis brenneri
Lineage: Eukaryota; Metazoa; Nematoda; Chromadorea; Rhabditida; Rhabditidae
Source: Rfam